AUGGACAUCGACGGGGAGCCUUUGUUCGAGAACGAGCUCGCCAACCAAGCCGGUGCGAAGCCGAAGCGCAAGAGCAAGCGGGCGAAGGCAUACAUGUCGUCCGAGGACAAACACCUUUGCGAGUGCUGGAGGGACAUUGGGUAAGACCCCAAGGUCGACGUCGAACAAAAGGCAUCAACCUUUUGGCUUCAUGUUCAUCGUGAGUACCAUGAACGCAAGAAGUUUGCGCCGUAUCAAAUGCACAGCAAGCGUGGGUGGGUGUCCCUCUCAAAGCGAUGGAGGGUGAUACAACAAGAGUGCAAAAAGUUUUAUGCCACCCUUGAGAGCAUCAAGGCAUGCCGGUGA
Molecule: ribosomal RNA, 345 nt
Filed under: Triticum aestivum (bread wheat)
Lineage: Eukaryota; Viridiplantae; Streptophyta; Magnoliopsida; Poales; Poaceae
Description: partial small subunit ribosomal RNA
Source: RNAcentral